RNAcentral lists this long non-coding RNA (6396 nucleotides) under Homo sapiens (human). RNAcentral describes it as "HSALNT0193345". Lineage: Eukaryota; Metazoa; Chordata; Mammalia; Primates; Hominidae. The record is from RNAcentral.
GGGAAGCAAAAUGUUUCAGAUGGGAGGGAGCACCGCAAAGGGAAAUGACUAGAAGUUUAGUAAAAACACAGGCUGUGAAGCAUGCACCAGAAGUGCAAAUGGGUCCUCGGUGACCCCAUUGAGAGAAGUUUUAGGGGAGUGCUGGGGGCUGACACUAGUUUUUAGUGGAUUAAGAAAUCCUGGGAGAGAGGAGUAGAGACUAUUCUUUUAAGAAACGUGAUAGUGACAGGGAAGAGAAGGAAUAGUGAGCUGAGGAAAUGCAGGAUCAUAAAAGUGGGUUUAGGACAGCAGCAGCUGGACAUCUGUGUAUGCUGAAAUGAACCCACUGGAAAACAGGUGCUGAUGAAGGAGGUGCCGGCUCUCAGAAGAGGCAGGAGGCCCAGAACCACCCCAGGUCUUCCCAGCGCUCCUGCUGCUGUGCCGAGUCUCUCUGACCCAGAAAUAUUUCUACUUUGGAAGAGUCUACUAAGCUGUGCUGUAUAGCUAUCUGUGAAAUUGAGCUGAAAAAUUCAAAGAAACACUCAGAAAAUUCAUUUUCUCUGUAAGGAUAUCAAGGUAAGUUUAACAUGCCAAGAGCCUGGGCCUUCCCCCUUCCAAAUAUUAUCUUAUUUUCACCUGACUUCUCCCCCACCAGAAUGUAACCUCCAAGAGGAUAGUAACAUUGUUUUGUACUCUGUGCCCAGAACAGUGCACGGCAUGUAGCAGGUGCUCAAUAAAUGGAUUAAAUUCUGUAAUCCCAGCACUUUGGGAGGCCGAGGUGGGCAGAUCACUUGAGGCCAGGAGUUUGAGACCAGCCUGGCCAACGUGGUGCAACCUCGUCUUUAUUAAAAAUACAAAAAAUUAGCCGGGCAUGGUGGUGCCUGCCUGUGGUCCCAGCUACUCAGGAGGCUGAGGCAGGAGAAUAGCUUGAACCUGGGAGGCGGAGGUUGCAUGAGCAGAGAUUGUGCCACUGCACUCCAGCCUGGGCAACAGAGCGAGACUCUGUCUCACAUAAAUAAACUAAUUAAUUAAUGCAUUAAAUUAUUGAAGGCCCUUGGGCACCCCAGGCCUUCAAUAAUUUAAUGCAUUUAUUGAGCAUCUACGAUCUCAUCUAACCCCUAUAAUCCUAGGCAGUUAACAGUUUAGGAAGGGGAGAUUCUCAGAGGUGAAACACCACCCCUCCCAUCCCCUCAUCCUCAUUUAAUCAAAUUGCCAGUAAGGGGAAAGCCCCCGAGUUUCGAGCUGGGCUUCCCACAUGUCAUGGAGUUCAGAAAUGCCUCUAUCAGUUUAUCAGGUGCUCACUCCUGUGAAACUGAUUCAUGCUAACGGAUUCACUCUGACAAGAAUAUCCCCGAGAAGAGAAAGCGAAUGUAGUGAUUUACAUUCAAGCAUAUACAGCUGCCAAGGAGCUGAAACGUUCUGCCCUGUCGGACAGCUCAGUCUGUCCCCAGUAGAAAGAGUUCACUGAGGCUGCCAAGCAGUCGCCAGCUUGGCUUGGAGCCUGCACAGAGUCGAUAGCCUCAGGGAGGCCAUGAACAAGCUCUGUGAACCAGAAACCCAGAAGACCGAGUGCAGCUGGCCAGGCAGGAUCCCCGCCUGCUCUAGGGACACAGCUGCCACUCUCCAGCUCACCCAGAGAGCCAGCCACCGGCCCCCUGCAACCCUCUACCUUCUCUUUUGAGAAUGAUUGCUUAUUGACUGAAUGGGUCACCUCCAUUCCCUCUCAUUCAUGGUUUCCAUGGACUUUCCUUUUUCUUUUCUUUUUUUUUUUUUUUUUUUGAGACAGAGUCUCACUCUGUUGCCCAGGCUGGAGUGUAGUGGCGUGAUCUUGGCUCACUGCAACCUCUUCCUCCCGGGUUCAAGCGAUUCCCCCGCCUCAGCCUCUGGAGUAGCUGGGAAUACAGGUGCGCGCCACCAUGCCCAGUAAUUUUUUGUUGUUGUUGUAUAUUUAUUAGAGAUGGAGUUUCAUCAUGUUGGCCAGGCUGGUCUCGAACUCCUGACCUCAAGUGAUCCACCCGCCUCGGCCUCCCAAAGUGUUGGGAUUACAGGCGUGAGCCACUGUGCCCGGCCUCCAUGGAUUUUCUUAGUCAAUUGUUUGUUGUUGACAAGGCAUAGCAGGAAGUCACCUUGCAAUUCUGACCAUGUUUGGGGACAGCCACCUUUCUGAAUCCAAGCAUGUCUUUGGGUCUCUGCUUGCUUAAGCCACUGUGUGUGGGGAUGUAUAAACUUCUACCUGUGGCCUAAGUUUUGGGGUCUUACAGUUCACUGUUCCCGGGAGCUACAAGACCUGGGCAUCAAAACACAGAAUAAAUAUGAUGAAGGAAGAGAAUUCAAAACCACUUUGGGAGGAAACCCCUGGUAGAAGGCUAGGCUAGCACUGUUGCUUGUGACAUUGACAGUCCAAGAAUCAGAGAAGGAUCCAGGCCUCCAAGAGCUUCUUUGGCAAAUGGGGUCCCUUACUGCUAGUACAGACCAGAAAGUACAUGACUUUAUUUUAUUUCUACUACUCAGUGGCUUAUUUUAAAGCACAACGGGAAAAAAAAAAAAAAGGAAAAGAGAAAAAAAGAAAUCCAAUUCUCAAUGCCUAAGCCAGAGCGGAGUAACCACCAACAAAACAGCUGUUAACAUGGCUGACGCAUGUUCCUGUUAACUGCUUUAGUCAAGUUAAAGGCCUGGCAAGGGAGAGAUUCUGGCUGGCUUAGCAAGGAGAGAGAUUUCUGAGGUAGCCACCACAGAUGGUAGCAGAUGUCACGCAGCCUCAGAGCAGAAGCCACCAGAGACUUCACUGUCUUGGAGCUGAGCAAAAAAGCUGAGAAACACUCAGCCACGUCAACAGCCAAUUACACACCUCAAGAAUCUCAGGAAGCCAGGGAGUGUGUAAAAGUUUCUAUAAUUAAUUGCUUUCCAUUCUCUUUAUCCACAAAUCUGUCAGCUCAUGGCUCUUCAAAAAUCAAGGAUGCUAGCUUCAGGUAUCUCUGCCCUCACCUUGUAUGGCCAGCAGCAUGAAGAUGGAAAUGCACAAUUUGUAACCACAUUAUUGAUUGCUAUAGUCCUAGGAUUAAAAGUGAUCCCUGACUGACAAGAAGCCAGUUGUUCAAUUCCUUCUAUUAUAGUGUAGGGUAGCGGUCACCCGUAAAGGCUAGAGUCACACAAGCUUGGGGAUCCCCCAGUACCUGCUGCCUGAUGCUGCUCACUAUUUUCCCUCUCUGAACCUCAGUUUCUUCAUCUACGAAGCAGAAAUAAUAGUGCCUGUCUUGUUGGGUGUUGGAAUGAUUAUAUUUGAUAGUGCAAGUAAAGCACCUGGCACAGUACAUUGUACACAGUAAAUGUCAAAGAAUGCCAGGUAUCAUCCCAAAUCUAUGAAUGCCCAGAAAGGUGCUGUUUGGUAUUGCCAUGUUCCUUACAUGACCCACAAAUUUCUACAUCUCAUAAUCAUACCUAUUUAGAAAAUAACUCUGUAUGUGGGGCUGCAGAUAUUCAUAGAUUUAAUUGCAAAUUUUAAAAGGCUAUUAUUGUUAUUAAGACUUUAAGUUACUUUGUCAAAUGGUGACUAUGGACCUCCUCAAAUGUACAAGAUAACUUCUUUUUUUUUUAAUUCUUUUUUUUUUUUUUUUUUUUUUGAGAUGGCAGGGGGGUUCUCACUAUGUUGCCUAGGCUGGUCUUGAACUCCUGGGCUCAAGCAAUCCUCCCACCUUGGCCUCCCAAAGUGCUGGGAUUACAGGCAUGAGCCACAGCACCCGGCCCAAAAUAAUUUCUUACAUUAGAAAUCCGGUGGGGCAUGGCUGCUCAUGCCUGUAAUCCCAAAACUUUGGGAGGCCAAGGUGGGAGAAUCACUUGAGCCCAGGAGUUCAAGACCAGCCUGCACAACAAAGUGAGAUCCUGUCUAUACAAAAAAUAAAAUAAUUAGCUGGGUAUGGUAGCACUCGCCUGUAGUCCCAGCUAUUUGGGAGGCUGAGGCGGGAGGAUCACUUGAGCCUGGGAGAUGAAGGCUGCAAUGAGCUAUAAUGGCACCACUGCACUCCAACCUGGGUAACAAAAUGAGACCCUGUCUCAAAAAAGAAAAAAUCCAUACAUUACUCAAAACUGGUAAAUACUGCUUUAUUCUAUAGCACUAUGCUUAAUGAAGCUUGAAACCAACUAACAUAACUUUUCCCCAUUUCUUUUUUUUUUUUUUUUUUUUUUUCAGGGAAACACAGAAUUGGUAAGGUGUUUUCCCUAAUGCAACAUUUAGGAAUAUGCUGGGCUGGACACAUAUUUCAUUCAAUCACUUCCAUUGUCUGUAUUCAUCCUCAGACAUCAAAUGACAAAAGUGUGCAAAAUAACAGUUGUUCCCCAUAAGAUUUCCAAAUAUUCAGCUAUGCUCCAUUUUCCAGGGCACAGAAUGGGCUACUGUAGUUAAGAAUUUUUCUAUCAUCUGAGAGUUCUAGUUAGUCUGUCUGUACAGGGUGAGUGACCAAAGUAGAAAACUGGUCAGGACAUGAAGUGAAGAGGGCUAAAAAGGCAAGAUGAGAAAAACAGAGUCGUGAAUUCUUCACCAGCCAAGACCUCACGAAAGGCUCGUGUGUCUGGGCUUCCAUCCCACCCGCUGAUAGAGGCAGUCCCCUCUCAGCCGCGGCGCUGCUUCUGUGGUUUCAGUUACCCGCAGCCCACCAAGAUCCAAAUAUAGCAAAUGAAAAAUUCCAGAAAUAGGCCGGGCGCAGUGGCUCAUGCCUGUAAUCCCAGCACUUUGGGAGGCCAAGUCGGGUGGAUCACCUGAGGUCAGGAGUUCAAGAGCAGCCUGGACAACAUGGUGAAACCCCGUCUCUACUAAAAAUACAAAAACUAGCCAGACGGAGAGGUGCAUGCCAGUAAUCCCAGCUACUUGGGAGGCUGAGGCAGGGGAACCGCUUGAACCCGGGACGCGGAGUUUGUAGUGAGCUGAAAUCGCACCACUGCACUCCAGCCUGGGUGACAGAGUUGUCUCAAAAAAAAAAGAAAAGAAAAGAAAGGAAAAAUUCCAGAAAUAAACAAUUGGUAAGUUUUCAACUGUGCGCCAUUCUGAUCUGGCAGUAUCCUGUACUGUCGCAACUGGGACCUGAAUCCUCCCUUUGUCCAGUGUAUUUAUACUGUAGACCAAGCUUGUCCAACCCACAGCCCAUGGGAUGCAUGCGGCCCAGGACGGCUCUGAAUGCAGCCCAAUGCAAAUUUGUAAACUUUCUUAACACAUUAUGAGGUUUUUUGUGAUUUUGUUUUAGCUUAUCAGCUGUCGUGUUAGUGUAUUUUAUGCGUGGCCCAAGACAAUUCUUCUUCCAAUAUGGCCCCGGGAAGCCAAAGAAUUGGACACCCCUGUAGACGCUUCCCGACUGUGAGUCACUUAGCAGCUGUCUUGGUUAUAAGAUCAACUGCUUCUGCUCAAGUAAUUUUUAUUUUACUUUACUACAGUACAUGGUCAUAAUCACUCUAUUUUAUUAUUAGUCAUUAAUCUCUUACUGUGCCUCAUUUAUAAACUUUAUCAUAUGUAUGUAUAAGAAAAAUGGUGUAUACAGGGCUCAGUUCUAUCUGAGGUUUCAGGCAUCCCCUGAGGAUAAAGGGGGAAUAUUGUAGGAAUAGCGUUGGUAUCUGUACUACUGGACUGGUUCAUAGGAGUUCACACACUGUGAAAUCAAGUGCAUUGUAGACACCAAAGCCCCAGACAAACUGGAGACAGUGCACUAAACCGACUGCUGGAGUCAGGCGUCUGCUCCCUCCUGUGCUGCUGCCCUGUGCCCCCCCCGGAUUGGCAUUGCCCUUGGUGUCUCAUUCCAGCUUAUGAAGGCUGUGCUUUGUCCUCGCCAUCACUUCCCCUUUUUCAACACAAGGACAUGUUUGCUAGCAUCUUAGCAUGACUGUGAAUAAACUACUCUUCCUUCUGCCGGGGCUCAAGCAAUGGGCCACACAUCACCAACUUCCUACGAUAUAUAGAAGACUUGAGAUUCAUUUAAAAAUUGACUACAGCGGGAGAGGAGGAUGAAUAGAUGGAGCACAGGGGAUUUUUAGGGAAGGGCAACUAUUCUGUGUGAUACUGUAAUGGGGGAUACAUGUAGUCAUACAUUUGUCCAAACCCACAGAAUGACAACACCAUGAACCCUAAACUAUGAACUUUGGAUAAUGAUGUGUGUCAAUGCAGGUUUAUCAACUGUAACAAGUGCACCAUUCUGGUGGGAAAUAUCGCUAAUGUGGAGGGGAAGCUAUGCCUGUCUAGGGGCAGGGGUUAUAAGGGAAAUCUCUGUACCUUCUGCUCAAUUUUGCUGUGAACCUGAAAGUGCCCUAAAAAAUAAAAUCUAUUAAAAAAAUUGGUCACACACACACAUUUGCUACUGAGAUGGGCUCCAACAAAUGUGAAAAUUUAAGAAAUCUACCUCUUUAUUUAACACCAAAGCUAACAUCAAGUGUUUAUUU